RNAcentral lists this ribosomal RNA (761 nucleotides) under uncultured bacterium. RNAcentral describes it as "bacterial SSU rRNA". It matches the Rfam family "Bacterial small subunit ribosomal RNA", at positions 28 to 776 of the family's 1533-position model. The record is from RNAcentral.
GAUGAACGCUAGCUACCGGUUUAACACAUGCAAGUCGAGGGGAAACGACAUCGAAAGCUUGCUUUUGAUGGGCGUCGACCGGCGCACGGGUGAGUAACGCGUAUCCAACCUGCCCACCACUUGGGGAUAACCUUGCGAAAGUAAGACUAAUACCCAAUGACGUCUCUAGAAGACAUCUGAAAGAGAUUAAAGAUUUAUCGGUGAUGGAUGGGGAUGCGUCUGAUUAGCUUGUUGGCGGGGUAACGGCCCACCAAGGCAACGAUCAGUAGGGGUUCUGAGAGGAAGGUCCCCCACAUUGGAACUGAGACACGGUCCAAACUCCUACGGGAGGCAGCAGUGAGGAAUAUUGGUCAAUGGGCGAGAGCCUGAACCAGCCAAGUAGCGUGCAGGAAGACGGCCCUAUGGGUUGUAAACUGCUUUUAUAAGGGAAUAAAGUGAGUCUCGUGAGACUUUUUGCAUGUACCUUAUGAAUAAGGACCGGCUAAUUCCGUGCCAGCAGCCGCGGUAAUACGGAAGGUCCGGGCGUUAUCCGGAUUUAUUGGGUUUAAAGGGAGCGUAGGCCGGAGAUUAAGCGUGUUGUGAAAUGUAGACGCUCAACGUCUGCACUGCAGCGCGAACUGGUUUCCUUGAGUACGCACAAAGUGGGCGGAAUUCGUGGUGUAGCGGUGAAAUGCUUAGAUAUCACGAAGAACUCCGAUUGCGAAGGCAGCUCACUGGAGCGCAACUGACGCUGAAGCUCGAAAGUGCGGGUAUCGAGCAGG